Macadamia integrifolia is the source of this 775-nucleotide long non-coding RNA. RefSeq lists it as uncharacterized. The transcript has 2 exons. The record is from RefSeq and is a predicted model, not a curated record. NCBI's taxonomy places the organism in Eukaryota, Viridiplantae, Streptophyta, Magnoliopsida, Proteales, Proteaceae.
GCUUGUGGUGUUCUUUCUAAAAGCAACACUUGGGUUAUGCUCAUGCUUUUACUAGUCCAUUGGCUGACAAAAGCAUAACCUUUGCCUUUGAACAUAGAACCACACAACAAGUUGCUCGAUAGUGUAUUGGGUAUUGAACUUAUCACAAGUACUUUUUAUUUAUUUUUAUUGGUUUCAAGUGGUUUGUGGUUAUUCCCUGUUCUUUAGAUACAUCCAGCCCUUCAUUGUUGUGCCACAAUACGCUACUUAUAUGGAUCUAUUGGCUAAAGCUCCUGUAGCAUUGGAUUCUAUAGAACUCAAAUGUGAAACAUGUCUUGCAGAUCCCAGUUGCUGUGGGAGUGUCCUUGUAUGAGGCCGUUAGUCUGUACAAGGGACGGAGAGUGAUUGCCUCCAGGUUACUGGUGAGACUGUUGGAAAAGUGAGAGCUGUAUCCGACAUGCACCGGAGAAAAGCUGAGAUGGCUCGUCAUCACAAAAUGAUGCCUUCAUUGCCCUUCAUGGAGUAUGUUCGGGAAUAUGAUGAGAUUACAUCCAAGUUGAUAUGAGAGGUGGAAAGACUAAGUUAUGUUCUUGAAUCAAACCCUAAUUAUUGUAUAUCCUUUUUUGGCUAAAAAACAAUUAUAGCUAAGGCUACCAUACAUAUCUAUUAUAUCCACCAAGAUCAUUGAUCAUGUCUUUUUUUGGUACAAGUUUCUUAUACAUGUACAUGUUAAAUACAGUUUCAGACUUUGUUUUUGUGUGAAGAAAAUAUUGAAUGAAAAUUGCUCAGUUUUGUC